Molecule: ribosomal RNA, 253 nt
Filed under: uncultured bacterium
Lineage: Bacteria
Description: partial 16S ribosomal RNA
Rfam family: Bacterial small subunit ribosomal RNA
Source: RNAcentral
UACAGAGGUCUCGAGCGUUAGGCGGAAUCACUGGGCUUAAAGCGUGUGUAGGCGGAUUGCUAAGUACCUUGUGAAAUCCCACGGCUUAACCGUGGAACUGCUUGGUAUACUGGCUGUCUUGAGCCACUUAGGGGCGACCGGAACAAACGGUGGAGCGGUGAAAUGCGUAGAUAUCGGGAGGAACACCGGUGGCGAAGGCGGUUCUCUGGGCCUUACCUGACGCUGAGGAGCGAAAGCAUGGGGAGCGAACAGG